This 497-nucleotide ribosomal RNA is filed under the name uncultured bacterium. RNAcentral's name for it is "partial 16S ribosomal RNA". It matches the Rfam family "Bacterial small subunit ribosomal RNA", at positions 28 to 507 of the family's 1533-position model. The record is from RNAcentral.
GAUGAACGCUGGCGGCGUGCCUAAUACAUGCAAGUCGAGCGAACGGACGAGAAGCUUGCUUCUCUGAUGUUAGCGGCGGACGGGUGAGUAACACGUGGAUAACCUACCUAUAAGACUGGGAUAACUUCGGGAAACCGGAGCUAAUACCGGAUAAUAUUUUGAACCGCAUGGUUCAAAAGUGAAAGACGGUCUUGCUGUCACUUAUAGAUGGAUCCGCGCUGCAUUAGCUAGUUGGUAAGGUAACGGGUUACCAAGGCAACGAUGCAUAGCCGACCUGAGAGGGGGAUCGGCCACACUGGAACGGAGACACGGUCCAGACUCCUACGGGAGGCAGCAGUAGGGAAUCUUCCGCAAUGGGCGAAAGCCUGACGGAGCAACGCCGCGUGAGUGAUGAAGGUCUUCGGAGCGUAAAACUCUGUUAUUAGGGAAGAACAUAUGUGUAAGUAACUGUGCACAUCUUGACGGUACCUAAUCAGAAAGCCACGGCUAACUACGUG